RNAcentral lists this transfer RNA (63 nucleotides) under Bemisia afer. Its description in RNAcentral is "tRNA-Thr". It matches the Rfam family "tRNA". Rfam says of the family: Transfer RNA (tRNA) molecules are approximately 80 nucleotides in length. Their secondary structure includes four short double-helical elements and three loops (D, anti-codon, and T loops). Lineage: Eukaryota; Metazoa; Arthropoda; Insecta; Hemiptera; Aleyrodidae. The record is from RNAcentral.
AUUUUAAUAGUUUAUUAAAACAUUGAUUUUGUAAUUCAAAGAUGCAGACGACUGCUUAUUAUA